Molecule: ribosomal RNA, 253 nt
Filed under: uncultured bacterium
Lineage: Bacteria
Description: partial 16S ribosomal RNA
Rfam family: Bacterial small subunit ribosomal RNA
Source: RNAcentral
UACGUAGGGACCAAGCGUUGUUCGGAUUUACUGGGCGUAAAGGGCGCGUAGGCGGCGCGGUAAGUCACUUGUGAAAUCUCUGAGCUUAACUCAGAACGGCCAAGUGAUACUGCAGUGCUAGAGUGUGGAAGGGGCAAUCGGAAUUCUUGGUGUAGCGGUGAAAUGCGUAGAUAUCAAGAGGAACACCUGAAGUGAAGACGGGUUGCUGGGCCAACACUGACGCUGAUGCGCGAAAGCCAGGGGAGCAAACGGG